UGGUAUAAUGGUGAACUAGGUUUAUGGUUUAACAAGUUCAAUCCAUAUUUUGAUAUUUGUGAAAAAAUCACAAAUUGAUUCAUGAUAUCCUUCCGAGAUUCACAUCAUAUGCUUUUCAAUAACAUCUACAUGAACUAUGAAUAAUGGCUCACCUCAGCUAACUUUCAAAAUUGUACUAAAUAGCCACUGAGAUACACGCAUUAACCCUAGUCAUUCCAUCGAGCUCUCCUCAAUUCUCGAUCCAUAAUUGUAGCUCUAGAGACACUCAACUUAUUAUCACCUUACCUUCAACUUGUAUUGUUAGAUCGAAUGCCUCUAGCACCAAUCACCAUUAUGAUUGCCUUAUAAAAUUGCAACCACUAUUACUGACAGCAAUUAUCAGCAUUGUGAUAGGAAAUAACAGAAAAUACCGAACCUUACUGCAGAAAUCAGCAAAACCAACAAGUUUCAAAACCGUUUUUGAGAGAAAAUCAAAGAAAUAUCGGAGAGAAAACUUUCAUUAAUAGUAGAGGAAAGGAAACAACAAGAUACAAUUGGAUCUUCAAUUGGAGAGGAAGAUCAUGCUCUCCCAAUCUCUAGUUGGAGACUGCACAGGCAAAACUACAAGAACACAAAAUUCUACAAAAUACAUCAUAACCCUAAUCCUAGAACAGAAAAUACUACUUAAAGCAAACGAAAAUAACAAUUCCCUAAACAGCCCCUAGAAUUUGAAUUUUCCCUCUCAAAUCCUUCUCAAUUAAAAGCCAUAAUAUCACCAUUAAGAGGGCUGCCCCACCCCCCACCCACAGGCAGGUCUAUUCCGCCUGGAAUAGACCCGAACCGGUCCAAGAAGGACCAGUUCAGCCGACUCCCAAGAGCCGGUCUAACAAUACCCCCAUCCCAAAGGCUCACCUUAUCCUCAAGGUGAAAUGAUGGGAAUUGGGUCUUCAAUCUCUCGUAUGGAUACCAAGUGUGGUCAUAACCUAGGAGGUACAUCCAUUUAAUUAGCACUUACUUAUACUUGCUCUCUCCUUGUCGCACCCCCUUAAGCUCCAAGGGCUCCAACACAACCUCCAAAUCCUUAGUCAGUGUCGUCGGUAAUGCCACACUAGCUACAUGCUCCCCUAUAGCUCUCCUCAACUGGGAUACAUGAAACACUGGAUGUAUGCUAGCAAUUGGGGGUAACCUCAAGCGAUAAGCCACCGCUCCGAUCUUUUCCACUAUCUCAUACGGGCCAAAAUACUUGGGAGCUAGUUUCUCGUUCCUCCUGCUAGCUAUUGUCCUUUGUUUAUAAGGUUGUAGUUUUAAAAACAUAUUGUCCCUCACUUGGAACUAAAUGUCAUUCGUGUGUCCAUCAACCUGCUUCUUCAUGAUAUGUUGUGGUGUUUCUUCAAUUCUUCUAGCACCAUAUCCCUUUCUUCCAAAUAUUGCUCUACUGAGGAGGUUGAUGUGCUCCCUUGCCCAAAAUGGACUAAGUGUGGGGGGUCUCUUUCGUAAAACACUUUGAAAGGGGUCAACUAAGAAGCUGAGUGGUACGAUGUAUUGUACCAAUAUUCGAUCGAGGCUAACCACUUGGCCCACAAAUGAGGUGUUUAUGACACGAAACACCGUAAGUCUUCAAGCUUCUGUUGACUACCUUCGUCUACCCGUCCAUCUCAGGGUGGUAGACGGUGCUUCUCUUGAGAACUGUACAUUGCAACCUGAACAACUCCCUCCAAAAUUGAUUGAGAAACACCUUAUCUCAGUCAGAGACCGACUCUGAAAUCACAAGCAAUCUAAUCACCUCUCUGAUGAAUGUUGUAGCCACUGUAACAGCGGUGUAGGGGUGUCAUAAGAGAAUGAAAUGCGUAUAUUUACUCAGCCUGUCAACCACCACCAUAAUCAAUGUGAACUGUGAAGCCCUCGGAUUGUGGUUGACCAUUUAUGAAAUCCAUGGACAAAUCCUCCCAUACCCUAUCUGAAAGUACUAAGGGUUGAAAUAACCCUCCUAGACCCAUAGCCAUAUACUUAUUUCUCUGGCACACUUCACACCUCGCCACCAUCUCCUCCGCAUACUUACGCAUCCCUUUCCAGUACAAUUCAAUUGUCAAUCUUCUAUAUGUCUUAUGCGCCCUCGAAUGGCUUCCAACCACGCUCCCAUGGAACUCCUGCAACAGGCGGGGAAUAUGAAUAGAGGUUCAUGGCAUCAAAAAUCUCCCUUGGUACAUUAGCCUCUUUUCCUCGAGGGAGUAGCCCGGGUGGUUGUUCCUAUCCUUUAAUAAAUCCCAAGGUUUUCAAAACCGGACCGGACCGGCCGGUUCGACCGCGAACCAGUCUGGCGGGCGGUCCAGUUUGAUGCUGCCAUGCUGGAAUCGGCUGUCUUUGAAAUCGGCUUAAAACUAGUACAAACCUCGGUUGAACUGGAAAACCGCUGAACCGGGUGACUUUUGAAGAACCGAACGGUUCUAAAAUUUGCAAAUCUCAGCCGUCCAUCCACGAUCGAACGCGCGCGUGGGGAAGUUUUGAUCGCUAUUCUUGCUGCCCUAUUCGUAAGCUGCGAGUAUUUCAUUAUUUCGAGUCUUCUAUAGUUCUACGCCUCAAGCCAUGCGCGACUCCUCCAUCCACAAGCGGACGCCGAAGGACUCCUCCGACCAUCUCUGUUCAUCCCAGCUGUUGGCGCACUCCUCCGACCUCACAGCCGCCGGCACACGACUUACCAUGAGAUAUAACUUUGUAUUUUAGUAUGUUUAAUUUUCAACCAUGCACAUUUACUUUAUGGCACAAGGUUCUUUACGUUUUUAUGCUUGUUUGAUCAUGAUACAUAAUUUUUGUGAGCAUCAAAAAGCUCUUAUUUGCAGUAUUUAGGAUCUUUAUCAAAAAGUUCAUGAGGAUUGCUGCUCAAUAAAAUCCAAGUUACUAUAAAAUGGAAUCCUUUAUUUUUAUAGCAGGAUGCCAGGAUGAAUAUUAUAUUAUCUUAAGUUUCUAAACAAGAAGAGCGUUCUAGUAAACAUGCUGAAAAUAUUAAUGUGUUAUUUUGUUGUAGGUCAAAAGUCACACAAAACUUUGCUUCUAUUCUAAAUUUGAAGCAGUGCAUCUUCAUUAAAUUUUUGUGUAAUUCGGGUUGUGACAUAUAAAUUAAUGUUUUCUUGUAUCAUACUAACUAUAAUACCCAAAAAUGUUCAAUUAUGUAAGUAAAAAUUCCCUCUAGCACUUAAUUUGACUUUUAAUUUGGAGUCUUAUUGAGUAUUAUAAAAAAAAAAUUAUUAUAGGAUAAUAAUAUGCCUGUAGAAAUCAUUAAGUAUAAGUCAUUAUUGCAUUUUGCUGUAGAUAUUCCACUUAGCUUGUAGAUAUUCCACUUAGCCACCCAUGCAAGCGUUGGAUGGAAAUUAGGUGGCUGAAAUGAUAAUGGAAGUUUAGUGGAAUGUUAGUGGAUAAUGCACUACCUUUAUAAUGAUAUUUUAUUACAUUUUAAAACACUAGGAUAAUAUCUUUUCCUUUCAUUCCUACCACUGUCGGAUAAACAGCAGUUAAGCAAAUUGGAUGAGGUAUAGGGUUCGGCUGCUGGAAGGCUAAGAAGCUCUGAUUGCUUAGGUUGGGAGGAUCCGACUGUUAACUGUUGACUGCUGCUGGCUGCUGGAAGCUGAAACCAUUUGUUGAAUCAGAUUUUCUUAGGAGAAACAGGGAAGGAGGGAGAAGCUAGAAGGACUCGUUGGUGGUGAGAGAGCAGGGACCUGAAGGUGGCGGACUGUAGUGUGGGGGGUAAACUGCAGUUCAAGUGCUGAUUUGCACAAGGAAAGAUUUUGGUGAAUGAAGAAACAUACAUUUGAGACUGUUUACAAAAGGAAAGAAAGGCAGAAUAUUAUAGGAGAACCAAUUGACGAUGAGGAAAGGAGAAAGAGCCCUUGGGACAAUAAAAAGAGGUGACCGUUCUUUUGAUGUAAGUACGUUUUGGGGUGCAAGAGAUCUAAAGCGAGAUCUGAAUGCUAGAUGUAAAGAUUUUUGGGUAUGUGAAUGAAUUUAAAAGUUUUAGUAGAGCUCUGUAUUUGUUUUAAUUAUGUUGAGGUUCAAUAAGAUAUAUUACAUGCUUCCUGUUGUUAAGUGUGGAGUUUGAUACGUUGAAAUCUUUCUCUGUUAUACUCCAGUUCGUGGUAGAGGGUGAGUCAAACUGGGGUGUGACACUAACUUUGGCCAUUCUUAAACAUUAGUUUUUAAUGUUUUUGUGCUUGUCAUAUCAGUGUCAGAUUGUAGUUUUAUUCAAGGUUUUGAAUCCUUGUUUGCAUAUCUUUAAAGAUUAAUUAAAGAUUUUUUAUUUGUAUUUAAAGAUAUGCUUAUAUUCCUAUAAAUCCAUGUUCGUAUUUAAUUUUUUGUUGAAUGCAGUGUCUUUCAUUAAAACAAAUUAUAUAUGGCAGACGAAUUUUGGAAUGCUUCUGGCAAAACCAAGUAACACUACAAUUACUCUAACGAUGGCAAAGGAAAUGCAACCUGGUACUUAUCUUUUCAUUGUCAGUGUUUAUACAUUUUUGUAACAUAUAUGCUUAUUUGCUAAGUUUUCUAAUAUCAAAUUAUAUAGAUGAAUGGUGGAAGAUGUUUGAAUCAAAUGCUUCAAACUUGUAGAAAGUAUCUAUAAGAAUUCUAAGCCAAACAUCAUUAUCAAUUUGCGAAUGAAAUUUGAGUGUUUUUGAACAAAUUCACUCAAAAAGAUGCAAUCAUUUGGAGCAUCAACGCUUGAACGACCUUGUUUAUGUUCAGAAUAAUCUAAAUUUAAAAAAUAGGUAUAAUUUUUUUAUAACAUAAUUUGUGUGUCAAUAUAUAAUAUUGUAUAUAUGUACAAAUGUCACUAAAAUUAUUGUUUCAUUCUUAAGUUUCAACUAAAAAAAGAAGUUAUGAUCCUCUUGACUAUACCUGCGUUGAAAUGGUAGAUUUUUGGGUGCUUGAUGAAAAAUCACCUGCAGAUAUCGACUUAGAGGAGUUGGAAACUGAGAUAUACGAAGAGGCUGCAAUACCUGUUGUUGAAGAAGCAAAUAUAGCAUACAGUCAGCUUACACUUGGUAAGCUAGUGAAAUAUGAACACAUCAUUUAAAUAAAUUAGAACAUUAUAAUCUUAUUUAAUUUUUUUUAAUUUGUUGGUGAAUGUGAAUUAGAGAAUGAAUGAGAUGGAUAUAACAUAAUUGGCUUCAAUGAUUUAGGUGCAUUUGUGGCUGCAGAUUUUGGUGAAAUGGGACAUGGAAACUCAACUUAUGAGCAUAUCUUUCACGAAGAAAAUUAGGACAUAUCUGAUUUUCCUUUUGUAGAAUUAUUAAAAUUAUUGAAAUAAGAAAGUGAAACAUUAGUAACUCUAUAUAUGUGUUAUGAAUGUGUUUUGUUUUUUUUAUCAGUUAGUAUAAAGUGUCAUAAUUUUACUAUAAUAUUUUGCUUAUUUAUUUCAUAUUAUGUACACAUUUUUCAGAUAUUUUAGCUUCACUAAUUGGAGAUAGAAAUUAUAUGAUCUCAAAAAUUUCUUUUAUACAUUUUAGAGAAAGAGAACUGAAGAUGAUCUGCAUUCCUCAACACCCAAAACUUAAUAGAGCUCGACAAAAGGUACGCAUUCCUAAAAAAUUUCUUGUUUGGUUAAUUAUUUACUUAUUUAUGAAAUAUUUGCUUAUAUUUUAUUAUUUUAUUGAUUUAUUUGAUGCCACAUUUAUAUUGUGUUAUUUUUUAUGUUUUAUAAAUUUAAUUGAUGCAAUAUUUAUGUUAUUUGAUUAGUUUAAUAUGAAAAUGGAAUGUAGAGUGAAGUUAUUAGAGGAAAAUGUCUCAUUCAUUUUAUAAUUUUAUAAUAUUAUUAUUUAUUACAUCAUCCAGUUCGACCCCGAACCCCUCCUUCCGGUUCGUUGUCCAGUCCGGUUUUCAAAACCUUGAUAAAUCCCUCCUAAUCUUCAUCAGCUCCUCAUCGUGCACACUUUCUUCUUUUAUAGCCCCCCAAUCUACCAUCAAGGGUAUUGAAAUGGCCAUCUCCUAGAGCUCUCCCACACAUCUGGAUAAGGCAUCAAUCGCCUUAUUCUCCAAUCCUGGUCUGUACUAGAUCUCAAAAUCGUAUCCCAACAAUUUUGACAGCCACCUCUGAUGUUCAUUAGUCACCAUUCUCUACUCCAGCAAGUAUUUCAAGCUUCUCUGGUAUGUCCUGAUAAUGAAGUGCCGACCCAACAAGUAUGAAUGCCACUUCUGAAUGGCUGACACGAUGGCCAUCAAUUCCCUAUCAUAUACUGACUUUAACCUCGCUGUAGUUAGUUGUCAACACUUGACUGAAAUAGGCUAUGGGUUUAUGAUUCUGCAUGAGCACUGCCCCCAACCCAUGUGCUAAUGCAUCUGUCUCCACCACAAAGGUCUGACUGAAAUCUAGUAGAGCAAAACUGGUAUUGUAGUCAUAACAUUUUUCAAUCUCUCAAAAGCCAAUUAUCCUUCUUUAGCUGCUCUGUUAAGAGCCAGGCUAUAUUGCUAUACCCCCUCAAGAACCUUAUGUAAUAACCAGUCAAACCUAGAAAGUCCCUCAACUCUCUCAAGUUCCUAACUAGAGGCCACUUCUGCAUUGCUUCAAUUUUGGUUUGAUUGGCUGCCACCUCCUCCUGAGACACUAUGUGCCACAAGUAUUCUACACUCGUUUGUGCGAAGUUGCACUUUUUCAGGUUGACCCUUAGCUGAUCUCCUGUAGGACUCCUAAGACCACCCUCAAAUGCUCAAGAUGCUCCUUAGUUUUGUUAUACAAAAGUAUAUCAUUAAAUAAAACUAAUACAAACUUUCAGAGGUGUGGCUUGAACACCAAGUUCAUAAGAGACUAGAAAGUAACAGGAGCAUUAGUAAGGCCAAACGGACAUCACCAGGAACUAAUAAUGUCGUGUGUUCUGAAGGUUGUCUUCUGAAUAUCUUCCUCUCUCAUCCUGAUUUGAUGGUAACCCGACUUCAAGUCCAUCUUGGAGUACACCACUGCUCCAUACAUCUCAUUCAGUAGCUCAUUGAUCAUUGGAAUGGCAACCUAUCCAACACAGACUCCUUAUUCAAGGCCCUAUAGUCCACACAAAACCUCCAGCUAUCAUCCUUUUUCUUAACCAGUAAGACAAGGCUAGAGAAAGGGCUCACACUCAACUUGAUGAUCCCCACCUCUAACAUCUCCCGUAUCAACUUCUCAAUCACAUCCUUAUGAAUUUGAAGGCUGUGGUAUGGUCAUACACUAAUCGGUAACACCCCUUCAAAUUCAUUGCAUGCUCCCGCUCUCUGGGUGGUGGUAAGCCUUGAGGAGGAUAAAAAACCUCACUAAACUGUUGUAAGAGUGACUAUACUGAAAGAGGGAUGUCUCCCCCUUCCCCGAGUCUGACCCCUUCCAAGCUUUAUAGUUCCACCAAAAAUCGUCUUCCCACCUCCUGUAUGGUCCUGAUCAUGGAUUUGAGAGAUAUCCCGGCACUAGAGAGCCAUGCAUCUCCCUGAAUCAUCAUUCUUCUUCCCUCCACCACUAGUUCCAUCCUCAGUGCUCCCCAAUUAACCUUGGUAUCUCCCAAGAUCUGCAACCACUUGAUCCCCAAGAUGACAUCAGUGCUCCCCAACUUCAAUGAGAGAAAAUCCUCCCUCAACUAAACCCCCUGAAUAGUCAGCACUAUUCCCCUACACACUCCUCUACCCAUCUCUACCUUCCCAAUACCCAUCAUCACCCCUAUAACCCCAGUGUCCACCAAUUUCACCCUCAAGUGGUCCACGACUUGAUUGGAGAUAAAAUUGUGGGUAACCCCACUAUCGAUCAGCACCACCACCUCUAUGUUUGUUAUCGCCCCCUUCACUUUCAUGGUAAGAUUCAGGGUGAACCCCACCAUUGAGUUCAAGGAGACUUUUGCCAUGACCAGAUAUAGCUUCUCCUCCUCCUCUAUCCCUACCUCACUCUCACCUCCCUCCUCAGCUUCCUUAUCAUCACAGACAGUGAGAACCUGAAAAAUUCUAUCCUUACAUCUAUGCCCCAGAGUGUACCUCUAAUUACACUUGAAGCACAAACUCUUUGCCCUCUUCCCCUUCAACUCCUCUAUCAGCUUCUUGAAAAUCCCCCCAAAUCCCCCUCCUCUAGGCUUCUCCUUUGGGGCCUCCCGCAUGCUUCCUGCUGCUGAUCCCUUGGAAGCUAAGAAAGUGGUGGUCAUUCUGUACGAUCCCCCUGAGCUGCUACCCUUGAAUCCUCUCUCCAAAUACUUAUGGUCCUCCACCAACUGCGCCAAUUCCAUGGCCUCUCUUAAGUCACGCGGCCUCAUCACUCUAAUAGUCUCUCGAAUCUCGGGCUUGAGCCCCUUCAUAAAAUUCCCCUCCAGCACAAUCUCGGAAAGUCGAUCCAUCCGACUAGCUAAGUACUCAAAUAUGUCGUGAUACUCUACUACAUAACCCUCCUGCGUCAAGGCGCUUCGUAGAAGUCUCCUGCCCUACCGGUUCGGAAACGUUCUAGUAAGCAAUCCUUGAACUCCCUCUAGUUCCGAAUAGGUUACCUCAUGUCCCUCAAAUGGUACCACACCAAUGUCUUUCCCUCCAAGCAUAGACCUGCCGCCGUCAAUUUCUCCUCCUCUGUCAACUCAUUGAUGGUGAAAUACCUUUCUACCCUAUAGAUCCACCCAUGCGCAUCCUCCCCUUAAAAAAUCGGCAUCUUCAAUUUUUGAACCUUAGGAUCCCCCCAUUUCCUCUGAUUCCUCCAUAAUUUCCCCUUCCCCAAGUGGAUGGCCCUUCCCAACUCCCUCGCCCAAUCAUACCCAAAUCUUUCUUCGAAUUCCACUAUCCUUCCUUCAAAAUCAGCAACUUAGCGGCCAUAAUAUCCCUCCCUUCGUUCCCAAUCACCACCCCUUUGCUCCUACCCCUCAUAUCCACGCCUCUCCCCAUACCUACCUCCUCUAUCCUUCCUCUGGAAAGGCUCUAGAUGGGGUCUUCUCCUUUCUCCCUCCACGAUCUCCACCACAUUUUCAUCCUUCUUAAUUUCAAAAUUCGUAUUUUUUCCUUCUGGCCCUCUCGCCUAUGAUAUCGUCAUUUGGUUGUGAAGAUCUAACAUCUUCUCCAUCAUGUCUCAUAAGUCAACAACUUGCUCUUCCAUGGAGAAAGUUUUGCCCUCCACCGUUGCCUUGAUUUGGUUCAUCUCCCCCUCAAGGCGUUCCUUCAAUGCAUCCACCGUCUUGGCCUCCAUUGAUACAUUGAUUUUUUGUGAGACUCAAAAUCCAGGAUUUCUUCCCCAAAAACAGCCACAUAAUGGUUCGGACAAGAAAACUUCUGCAGGAAACUGCCAAAACCGCCCCAAAACAGCCCCGGAAAGCGGCUAUGAUAUCAAUUUGAUAGGAAAAAAUAGAAAAUAGCGAACAUUACUGCAGAAAUCAGCAAAACCAACAAGCUUCCAAGCAGUUUUUGAGAGAAAAUCAGAGAAAUAAUAGAGAGAAAACAUUCAAUUUAAUAGUAGAGGAAAGAAAAUAGCAAUAUACAGUUGGAUCUUCAAUUGAAUAGGAAGAUCUUGCUUCUGCUCUCCCAAUCUCUAAUCGGAAGCCCAAGCAAAGCCACAAGAACACCAAAUUCUGCAAAAUACAUCAUAACCCUAAUCCUAGAACAGAAAAUACUACUUAAAGCAAAAGCAAACAACAAUUCAGCUCCAAGAAUUUGAAUUUUUCCUCUUAAAUCUUUCUCAAUUGAAGUCAUAAUAUCAUAAGAGGGCUAGGGCCCACACCCUA
Dendrobium catenatum is the source of this 9659-nucleotide long non-coding RNA. RefSeq lists it as uncharacterized. The record is from RefSeq and is a predicted model, not a curated record. The transcript has 3 exons. Lineage: Eukaryota; Viridiplantae; Streptophyta; Magnoliopsida; Asparagales; Orchidaceae.